AAAAGAGGGGUAUGUGACACUGCAAUGUAUCUGGCAGAGGAGCAGGUCUCUCGCAGAGAAGCAGCUUUUCCACGUGUCGCCCAUUCAGAGCCAAAGCCUGUUCUGUCAGUUUUAAAGUGCCAUAUAUUUGGUGCCUGUUAGUGGCUGAAAGAGCUAAUCCUGCCUGCCUGUGUGCGGAGUUUCAAGUGCAGCCACAGCUCGGAGCCAGGCUACAAACCAGAGUGUUUUGCACUGCAGCGUGAUAAUUCGCACUAUCUUAUGGAGAGGGCUUUCCUUUACAAAAUACCAUUUAAGAAUGGCAUAAUGAUUACUCAUCACUCCAGCAAAGGGCUACUCUGUUCUCUUUACAACACAGCAGCCAGGACUGCCGAGAGCUUUACUCAAUAUCGCCCCCCCCGUCCACAGUCCGGUUGAAGUACCACUUAAUCAGCAUUUGGUUCUCCAUCAGCAAAAGCCUGCAUGCCGUUUGCCAAAUGAGGUAAAAAAUGUCACACGUUUACCUGUCCUACAUAAGGAUGGUGUGCGCCCUGGUGGUCGUGGAGGUGUCUGUCACUCAGCAGUAAGCGGAAAGUGGAGGUGAGGUAACCAAAGAGUGGCUGCUCGACCCCGCUGAUCACUACAUGGACCCCCAUUCGACCUAAGUGCGUUUAUGCGUUUCCUAUGACCAGCUGAGUGAUGUUAGAAAUUAUAGGUUUGUGCAACAGGAGAGUAUUUGAGCUUUUGAAGGGGGGUUGGGGCUACGGUGGCAGAAAUGCCAACUAAGACAUAAUUGUGCUAUUGGCCAAAACCACUAUAAAAACAGCAUAGUAGAUAUUUAACUUUUGCCACUCCAGAUUUUGCCAAAAGUCUAGCCCGGAAGAAUGAUCUUCUAUCGGCACCGUUUGGCGCUUGUUUUCCGUCAACACAGAGCAGCAGGCGUGGAAAAAUCCCACCACAACUAUUAAUCAUUCGGGGCGGACAUAGACAGCAUCCCACUCCCACACCAGCCUUUGUCUUCUCAAACUACAACUUGAGCGAUGUGGAGCUGUCACUAUGAUUUUAUGGCUGGACAUGACCGUGCUCUGGAAGUUAAUCCCAUGUUGCCUUUCGCCACCGCACCUGAACUUUUCCCUGACCCGAGCAGAAGCAGAGAGUCGAGUGCGAACUUAUUUUGGGAUCACAAACAAGGAGACGAUGGAAACCAAAGGCCCUCAGCUGGUAGUCUACUUUUUUCACAUUUGCCCUUUCCUCAAAAGUAAUAGUUGAGCAAUUAUGUUUUUAAGUUUAAACUUUGUUUUGCAUGAAACAAAUGUAGAGUUAUUUACACAAAUCAAGGUUCCUGAUCACUGUCAGCGAAGAGGAGUUAGAGGCGCAGACCUCUGGAUGUUGGCCAGACGGCGGUCCAUAUCUUCCCACAAUGUUGACACUCGGAGCUCUUAACAGCCAGGCUUGGGUUACGGAUACACUCAGACAAAGAUAACUCUUUCUGCGAGGUUUACAUCGGCCAGUAUCAAGGCUAAUGCGAAAUUCAACGCCUUAAGCAAACUUGGAAACAUCGCUCAUGAAGGCAGACUGACUAGGACAACUUAAUUGUUUGCGUAAAGGUGGUUGUAAUAAAGCAAUUUUCAUGUUGAACUAA
Molecule: long non-coding RNA, 1618 nt
Organism: Trematomus bernacchii (emerald rockcod)
Lineage: Eukaryota; Metazoa; Chordata; Actinopteri; Perciformes; Nototheniidae
Exons: 2
Source: RefSeq, a predicted model, not a curated record